UACAGAGGGGGCAAGCGUUGUUCGGAAUCACUGGGCGUAAAGCGCGUGUAGGCGGCCCAUUAAGUCUGAUGUGAAAGCCCGGGGCUCACCCCCGGAAGUGCAUUGGAAACUGAUGGACUCGAGUCCCGGAGAGGAGAUCGGAAUUCCUGGUGUAGCGGUGAAAUGCGCAGAUAUCAGGAGGAACACCGGUGGCGAAGGCGGAUCUCUGGGCCUGUUCUGACGCUGAGGCGCGAAAGCUAGGGGAGCGAACAGG
RNAcentral lists this ribosomal RNA (253 nucleotides) under uncultured bacterium. Its description in RNAcentral is "partial 16S ribosomal RNA". It matches the Rfam family "Bacterial small subunit ribosomal RNA", at positions 524 to 776 of the family's 1533-position model. The record is from RNAcentral.